RNAcentral lists this ribosomal RNA (393 nucleotides) under uncultured bacterium. RNAcentral describes it as "partial 16S ribosomal RNA". It matches the Rfam family "Bacterial small subunit ribosomal RNA", at positions 523 to 918 of the family's 1533-position model. The record is from RNAcentral.
AUACGGAGGAUCCAAGCGUUAUCCGGAUUUAUUGGGUUUAAAGGGUGCGUAGGCGGGAGAUUAAGUCGGUGGUGAAAUUUUGCAGCUCAACUGUAAAAGUGCCAUUGAUACUGGUUUCCUUGAGUGUGGAUGAAGUAGGCGGAAUUUGUGGUGUAGCGGUGAAAUGCAUAGAUAUCACGAGGAACUCCGAUUGCGCAGGCAGCUUACUAAACCAUAACUGACGCUCAGGCACGAAGGCGUGGGGAUCAAACAGGAUUAGAUACCCUGGUAGUCCACGCAGUAAACUAUGAUUACUCGCUGUUUGCGAUACACAGCAAGCGGCUUAGCGAAAGCGUUAAGUAAUCCACCUGGGGAGUACGUUCGCAAGAAUGAAACUCAAAGGAAUUGACGGGG